Molecule: small RNA, 774 nt
Filed under: Arabidopsis thaliana (thale cress)
Lineage: Eukaryota; Viridiplantae; Streptophyta; Magnoliopsida; Brassicales; Brassicaceae
Description: ATSL083080
Source: RNAcentral
CCCAAGAAACAUCAUUAAGUGCCAAAUUCACAUCAAACGUCAAUAUUACACAAUCACGAGUUUACAAAGCAGAGAGAUUAUGAAGCAAAUACAUAAGAUAAUUACUUUCCGGGGACAAAGUUAGUAGCGUAAGACCAGGCGUUGUUAGCCACAGGAUCAGCCAAAUGAUCAAAUAAGUUCUCAAUGGGACCUUUACCAGUAACAAUGGCUUGGACAAAGAAUCCAAACAUAGAGAACAUGGCAAGACGACCGUUCUUGAGCUCCUUCACCUUCAGCUCAGAGAAAGCCUCUGGAUCCUCAGCCAAGUUCAAUGGGUCGAACGCACCUCCGGGAUAAAGCGGGUCAAGUCCUUCUCCGAGUGGUCCACCUCCGAUUCUGUAGCCUUCAAUGAACCCCAUGAGCACAACUUGAACAGCCCAGAUGGCUAAGAUGCUUUGCGCGUGGAUCAAGUUAGGGUUUCCGAGGUAAUCAAGACCUCCUUCUGAGAAAAUCUGAGAGCCUGCCUUGAACCACACGGCUUCUCCGAAUUUAACACCGUUCUUGGAGAGAAUUUCAGGGAAUGUGCAUCCGAGAGCACCCAACAUAGCCCAUCUGCUGUGGAUUACUUCAAGCUCACGGUUCUUAGCGAAUGUCUCCGGGUCAGCCGAGAGUCCAGCGGUGUCCCAGCCGUAGUCUCCGGGGUAUUCUCCAGUUAAGUAAGACGGUGUGUUCUCCGAGAAUGGUCCCAAGUACUUGGGACGGUCUGGUCCAUACCUGUUACAAAAUUAUAUUGCA